UGAGCUGCAAUUAAUUUGCUUAGAAUUUUUAUUAUUUCCUAUAGUGUGAUCUAUGAAUUGCUAGAAAUUUUACAUCGUGUUUUCCUCUUUCCAGUUCAUUCUGAGACACAAUCGGAGUUCUUUUUUAACUUUAAAAAUUAACUCACUCUUUAAGUUUUUUGACCAGAGGUGAAAUUGGCUAGUUGGUUAGUCUUGAGCAAUGCUGUUUGGUAGGAGUUAUUCGCUACAUAUGGCUGUUCACAUUUGUAGUCACUAAAAUUAACAGUUCCUAAGUCAUGCUAUCUGUAUUUCAAGUGCUUGUAGGUGGCGAACUACUUUUGUCAUUGCAGAAAGUUCUGUUUUGCAGAAAGUUCUGUUGGACUGUGCUGGUUAAAGCAAGGGAGCCUGGGUCUCUGUAUUGUCUGCAGCCACCUUCGUGCUUUGGGGGCUGAGCAGAGUCGUUGCAUCAGAAAUGGUCUGGUUCACAAAGUCAGAAAUACCUGCUGUCUGGCCCUUGAUGGGAGCAGUUUGCUGACCUUCCUCUAAAGGGUUACCACAUAGAGCAAAAAGUCUUAACUUUUAUGACCUUGUUUUACAAAUAUGGUAGUAAAGCAUUUCACUCACGCAUUAUGUGGUGCAUAGUGUAUGCAAGGGGCUGCCUGAAUGCUGCAGAUGUCACGAGGGUGUAAAAGAUGCAGCUCCUGGUCUCUAUUACCUACUUGUGAUAUACUUUUUAACUUGCGGAGUUUCUUGAUUCCAAUCAAAUAAAAGAAGAUAAAAUUUACGCUAACUCAGUAGAGAGCAGAUUGUUACUGGUUCUAGUAGUUUAUAAAGUUGUUAGUUCAGUGGAGACUCACGUGUAAAUUUUUAGUAUGUAUCAGUAAUUGUCAAACUUGGUUUUGUGAUAUUCCAAUAUACCAUCAGCCAUGCUGAUAUUUUAGAAUCUUUUCCCCAAAAUUAACAUUAAAUAGAUAUGAAGCUACAUGUCUAGCUCAGAAUUAACUUAAAGCUAAUUAGAGUACACAUUCAUACAGGCACAUACAUUUACAAACCGCUUAAUUGAGAUACACCUCACAUACUACAGAAUUCACCCUAUUGUGUAUGUGUGUCCCUACGUGGGUGUGAAAAAAUUCACCCUUCUUUAAUACAGUGUUUUUAGUGUAUUCCCAAAGCUCUGCAGCCAUUGACAUUGUCUAAUUGUGGACUAUUUCCAUCGCCCCCAGAGGAAGACUUUACCCAUCCGCAGUCACUUUCCAUUCUCCCUCCCCUGGGUCUUGGCAACCACUAAUCUACUUUCUGCCUUGAUGCAUUUGCCUAUUCUGGACCUUUCUGAUGGAUUGCACAGUAUGUAGCCUUUUUAGACUGGCUUUUUUUACUCAGCACAGUGUUUUCAGGUUCCAUCCUUGUUGUAUUGUGUGUCAGCAUGUCAUUCCUUUCUACUGCGGCAUCGGGUGGGUAGAUGCUGCAUUCUGUUUAUCCACUCGUCAGUCAUGGGCCAUCUGGGGUGUUUCCACUCUCUGGCUCUUCCUGAACGAUGCUGUUAGAAAUAGUAUAGGUGAAUUUUUGUGUAGACAAGUGUUUUCAGUUACCUUGGGUAGAUGGCUAGGAGUGGGAUUGCUAGAUCAUAAGAUACAGAAAACCUUCAAGAAUAGAAUCUCUGACAAAUGAGAGGACAUGACUCCACUCAAGAGGGCUGUGACUUGCUUUUAAGUGCACGGCUUUUGUUUUUUUAAUCUUGUAAGUAAUACAGCUGAAGAUGAUUCCAGUGGUGAGACAAGGCACUUGGCUGGAUUUCUGGUGUGCAGAAAAAUCAGGGAAGCCCCGAUGGAGACCAUGGACAUGUACCUGCUGAUUUGUCUCUGGAGAAUUUCUUAAUAUGUCAUUUUUGGCUGAAUCAGAUUGGUCCUUUGUCCAAGGUGUUAGGCUUUUAGAACUCUAGAAUGUAGAGACUUUGUCCGCUUGCAGCAAUUACUGAAUUCUUGCAUUCUACAAAUAAUUAUAAUAUGUAGUUCUUCAGUUUUAAAAUUUUGGGGGGAAUACUACUCUACAAUUGAGCAUUCUUUUCCUCCCAGUUUUGAGAACGUAAUGGCUUCAUACAUUUAUUAAGAGUGGAGAGGCUAGCCUGACUCUGAAAUAUUUUACAUUAAUUCUUUAGAUAUUUAUGAGUAGCAGCCACAGUUUUAAAGAUUUUAUUUACUUAUUUGAAAGAGAGCACGAGCAGGGGGAGUGGUAGAUGAAGAGGGAGAAGCAGGCUCCGCACUGAGCAGGGAGCCCAAUGCAGGGCUCGAUCCCAAGACCCUGAGACUAUGGCCUGAGCCGAGGUCAGACACUUAACUGACUGAGCCACCCAGGUGCCCCUGUCUACUUGUAUUAAUUAUUGCAAAUUCUCAAGCACACUCCCCCCUCACCUGCAUUUUUAGUCUCAGUGUCAUUAUUGUCAGAAUGAGAACUUUGGGGCAGCAGACACCUCUUUCUGAAGCACAUCUUCACUUCUGUUGAAGUGUUCCAAGACCUAGCACUGCCUCCAACACUGCUGCGAGCUCUAGCCCCGCCUCAGUUUGCAUGAUGCAAUAGAUCUUUUUUAAAGUUUUCUCUCCGGGUGUAUGUUCAGUCUCUCCUGUAACCACUUACUGAAUCGCCUCUUCAGAUCGUCUCCUACGGGCUGGUUUACAGUGACAUCUGAUGCUGACAAUUGAUUCCGUUGCCGGUUGGCAGGUGCUUUGGGUUCCGGGAAGGAGGAGCAGACUGUGUACCCCACUGUUCACUCUUCAGAGUCAGACAAUCCUGGUCAUUAGUUGCUGAAGGAGAAUGGGUCAGAAAUGGGGGAGAGGGAAGCUGGUUGAGAGAAAAGAGGGAUCCUUUUCCUUCCUGACUCUGGCUGGAAGCUAACAGCUAGGUUUUUACCCUUUGUUUAUGCUGGAGAAACAUAUGUGACAUGCUUUCUCGAGAAAGUGUCUUGCUUCGGAAUAUGACACAAAUAUUCUUGGAGCCUUAUUAUACAGUGUAAACGUUUUUCUUGACUUUUUAACUCAAGAUGGCAAGGGAAAGAGAACAGUAUUUUUGGAAAGAAAAAAGCCCGAGAGCAUCUGCAGUCCGAAAGGUCUAGUUCAGUCCACUUUGUUUCCAGCCACUGCUCAAAGGCUUCCUUUUUCUUCUCAAGUUUUAGUCUCAAGCCCUUUCUCCUCGCUGCAUGCCUGCCUGUUCGGUUGCAACUUUCUGUGAUGUCUUACAUACUACACAGUUGACCUUUGAACAACACGGGUGUUGGGGUGUUGACCUCUUGUGCAGUCCGAGCUCUGCGUGUCACUUGACUCCCCAAAAACUUAAUAGCCUGCUGUCAACUGGAAGCCUUACUGAGAACAUAAACAGUCAGAUGCUACACUGGAAAUACUCCAACAGUGUCUUUCUUCACAUCUGACUCCGGGGUGACUCAGGGAAGGACUAGUUUCCCUGGAUAGAUGACUUCUCUCAAACAGCUUCUGAUACACAUGAAGAACCUGCUUUUUCCUUUUCUGAUAACAUUUCCCCCCAUAGUACAGCUGAUUCAAAGCUAAAAAUUGUGAAAAGCUGAAUAUUGUGUGUUGUCAAAGAGUGUGUCCAAAUGUGUGGGCUGUGUUCCUUGCCUUUCUGCUGACUCAGCCUGGAUUCAAAGCACAAUUGGUGCCAUUUUUUAUAAGAGGUGGUUCACUGCUCCCUAAAAAAUCUACACCUAGGGAUGCCUGGGUGGCUCAGUUGGUUAAGUGCCCAACUCUUGGCUUCGGUCAGGUCCUGAUCCCAGGGUCGUGAGAUCUAACCUAGCGUUGGGGUCCAUGCUCAGCCAGGAGUGUGCUUGAGGAUUCUCUCUCUUCUUCCUCUGCCCCUCCCCUACCUUCCCUCUUAAAAAAAAAAAAAAAGUAUACACCUAUUAUUAUCUUCUGUAUAAGCUUUGUGUCUAAAGUUUCCUCUUCACAAAAAACAGUAAGUAAAAGUUGCCUAGGCCAGCAGUUUUCAUGAGGAGUAGCCAGGCUUUAGGCUGGACUCUUCCGCAAUUGCACACAGCCAUUCACUUUGUGGAUUGCAGCUCCUGGGAGGAAAAACCUACAUGAACCCCAAAAUAGAUGUAUUUGGGGACUUUUUAAAAUGGAAUUUUUGUUUUUCAGAUCAAUAAUCAUGUAAGAUUUAGAAGUCCAAAAAGGCACAUAAUGAAAAGUAUACCUCCUUUCCUUCCAUCUUCCAUUCAAGUCAGGGCCACACUAGUGGUCCUCGCAGCUGCUCUUUUGGGCACAUCCCUCUGUGUGUUAUCUGCGUGCAUGUGCGCACGCACACACACACUUGUACAGAAAAUGGUUGUUUAUAUUAACUUGAAAAUCACCUUUAACACAAAUACUCAAUUGUAAAUUAACAUAUAACUGUAAGGUUUUUGUUUUUUAUGUGAAUAGUAAUUGAUCCUUGCAGAGAACUUGCUCUGAACCAUCCCUCUGAGGGAACAGAAAUGAUCUCCUGACCAUACCCCCAUUUUUAGCUCAUAGCUAGCCACUUGUUGUUCUUUUGUCCCCGAAGAUAAGCAUCUUUGUUAGAGACAAUAGAAAAAAAAUUUUUUUUGCUUUUCCUUGAUUACUUUGAUAAUAUUUGUAUUUUAGUCACAAUUACAAAUUGGUUGUUACCUGAAUGCUUUUAGAAAUGCUGCAGAUAAAUACACUGAAAUAAAAAUUACUUUUGACAUA
Molecule: long non-coding RNA, 4682 nt
Organism: Canis lupus familiaris (dog)
Lineage: Eukaryota; Metazoa; Chordata; Mammalia; Carnivora; Canidae
Exons: 2
Source: RefSeq, a predicted model, not a curated record